AACGUGACUGAUAAUGCCAUCUAUCAGCCGUCUAAUUGGCGAUGAGGAUCUGCGGAGGGUAUUUUAACCAGGCCCAUGUAUCCAUCACACAGCUGUGGACAAGAUGAUGGCACUUCAUUACCAGAGUGCUAACCAGCAAAGACGAGCAAGUGCUGUGGAACAAAUAACUGUGGUGAGUAGAGAAAGAGGACAAGAAACAAUUGAGUAAAAGGAAUUGAGAAAUAUCAUGGACCAAGAACUCAAAAUUUGGCUAGUUAGCAUGGCCUAGUUAGCCUCUGUUGGUAGAUGCCAUAACUAAACGCACA
Molecule: long non-coding RNA, 305 nt
Organism: Onychostoma macrolepis
Lineage: Eukaryota; Metazoa; Chordata; Actinopteri; Cypriniformes; Cyprinidae
Exons: 3
Source: RefSeq, a predicted model, not a curated record